AUGCUAGCAAGAUGGGCAGCAUAUCUUGAGAGGUUUAACUAUCUCAUCGUGCAUAAAUCUGGAAUAACUAACAGAGUGGCCGAUGCUUUGAGUCGUCGUGCAUGCCUCUUGACUUCUUUUGAAGCUGAACUUCCGGGCAUGGGUCAAAUAAAGGAGUUGUAUGAGGGUGACGAAGACUUUGGCCAUGUUUGGGUAAAGCACGCAAGGGGGCAACCAUUAGGUGAUGACUAUUUGAUGCAAGAUGGAUAUCUCUUCAAAAAUGAUCGUUUGUGCAUUCCAAGAAGUUCUCUACGUGACAAGCUGGUUAGAGAGCUCCAUUCAAGUGAUCUUAGUGGCCAUGUUGGACGGGACAAGACUAUCGCUAACCUGGAAGCUCGCUACUUUUGGCCAUAA
Molecule: ribosomal RNA, 393 nt
Filed under: Triticum aestivum (bread wheat)
Lineage: Eukaryota; Viridiplantae; Streptophyta; Magnoliopsida; Poales; Poaceae
Description: partial small subunit ribosomal RNA
Source: RNAcentral